UAUAUAUGUGAUUAGGUGUAACUGGUUAAACUUAAAGCCGAUAUUUUCUAUCGAACUAGUCUAUUUUCUGUUCAGACACAAAGUUUUCUGAUGGUGAUAUUAUGUCAGUGUGUGUUUGUGUGGGGGUCGUGUGCUGUAAUCUUUGAAAGUUUUAUGACCGAACCUUUAUUGGGGAGCGACAAGAGAUCUCCGUGAUCAGUUUGGAUGGAGCAGAGCUGUUAUACUCAAGUCUAUUGGUAUGUAUGUGUUUCGCUGUGUUCGUUCCAGUAUUUUGUCUGAUUUAUUUAAAAACUAAAAAUUCGAUCUGGUAUUGCAGCGAAAUUGUCUAAACUGGUAUUAACUAUUCCUGGUAAAUCGCGGAGAAGAGUGGAAUGAACAAAAAAAAGUCAGACCGAGACUAGAACCACCCGCAGCGUAACAAGGAAAUCUUGGAGCAAAGAGACGCCGAGUGGCUCGUGUUGUGCGGUUUGGAUAUCUGCUGCAAAGCGAACGUUGUGUGUACUAUUGCAAAAUAACGGAUCUCCCCGGUUAGGAUACAGACCACAACGCUUUGGACGUAUCUUUAAAAAAGAGAAAAAUCAGAGACUUUUUGGAUUUGUCUGGGGACAUUUUAAACAUUUUGUGUCAAAUUGGAUUUAAAACAUUUCGGAUACUGGAUACCUAGUUUGAUUUGUCCACAGAGCUUGUUUAAGACGUUUUCACCUCAUUUUAGGGUUUAUUUUUAAUUAAAGGCUUCUUAAAACAUGUAUGAAAAUGUGUAUAUUAUACAAUGAGUCUUAUAUUGUCUGCUCUGACAAAAAUAAAUUAUUAUUUUAGAUCUUA
This is a non-coding RNA of Paramisgurnus dabryanus, 822 nucleotides long. The record is from RefSeq and is a predicted model, not a curated record. NCBI's taxonomy places the organism in Eukaryota, Metazoa, Chordata, Actinopteri, Cypriniformes, Cobitidae.